GAUGAAGAACGUAGCGAAAUGCGAUAAGUAGUGUGAAUUGCAGAAUUCAGUGAAUCAUCGAAUCUUUGAACGCACAUUGUGCCCGCCAGUAUUCUGGCGAGCAUGCCUGUUCGAGCGUCAUUUCAACCAUCAAGCCCCAGGCUUGUGUUGGAGCCCUGCGGCUGCCGCAGCCUCCCAAAACCAGUGGCGGGCUCGCUAUCACACCGAGUGCAGUAGUUUACUCUUCGCUCAGGGCGUGUGGCGGGUGCUAGCCGUGAAACCCCCAACUUCUCAAGGUUGACCUCGGAUCAGGUAGGAAUACCCGCUGAACUUAAGCAUAUCAAUAAGCGGAGGA
RNAcentral lists this unclassified non-coding RNA (334 nucleotides) under soil metagenome. RNAcentral describes it as "partial contains 5.8S ribosomal RNA, internal transcribed spacer 2, and large subunit ribosomal RNA". The stretch from base 1 to 120 matches the Rfam family "5.8S ribosomal RNA", at positions 35 to 154 of the family's 154-position model. The record is from RNAcentral.